CCUACGGGAGGCAGCAGUGAGGAAUAUUGGUCAAUGGCCGAGAGGCUGAACCAGCCAAGUCGCGUGAGGGAAGACGGCCCUACGGGUUGUAAACCUCUUUUGUCGGGGAGCAAAGCGAGUCACGUGUGACUCAUUGAGAGUACCCGAAGAAAAAGCAUCGGCUAACUCCGUGCCAGCAGCCGCGGUAAUACGGAGGAUGCGAGCGUUAUCCGGAUUUAUUGGGUUUAAAGGGUGCGCAGGCGGAGGGGCAAGUCAGCGGUCAAAUUGCGGGGCUCAACCCCGUACUGCCGUUGAAACUGCAGCCCUUGAGUGCGCGAGAAGUAUGCGGAAUGCGUGGUGUAGCGGGGAAAUGCAUAGAUAUCACGCAGAACCCCGAUUGCGAAGGCAGCAUACCGGCGCCCUACUGACGCUGAGGCACGAAAGUGCGGGUAUCGAACAGGAUUAGAUACCCGUGUAGUC
RNAcentral lists this ribosomal RNA (459 nucleotides) under uncultured bacterium. Its description in RNAcentral is "partial 16S ribosomal RNA". It matches the Rfam family "Bacterial small subunit ribosomal RNA", at positions 338 to 795 of the family's 1533-position model. The record is from RNAcentral.